GCACCAGACUUAGGAUCUGGCGCCUAUGGCGUGGGGGUUCGACUCCCUUCAUCCGCACCA
RNAcentral lists this transfer RNA (60 nucleotides) under Paraclostridium bifermentans. RNAcentral describes it as "tRNA-OTHER". It matches the Rfam family "tRNA", at positions 23 to 71 of the family's 71-position model. Rfam says of the family: Transfer RNA (tRNA) molecules are approximately 80 nucleotides in length. Their secondary structure includes four short double-helical elements and three loops (D, anti-codon, and T loops). Lineage: Bacteria; Bacillati; Bacillota; Clostridia; Peptostreptococcales; Peptostreptococcaceae. The record is from RNAcentral.